UGGGGAAUAUUGGGCAAUGGGCGAAAGCCUGACCCAGCCAUGCCGCGUGAGUGAUAAGGCCCUAGGGUUGUAAAACUCUUUCAUCGGUGAAGAUAAUGACGGUAACCGAAGAAGAAGCCCCGGCUAACUUCGUGCCAGCAGCCGCGGUAAUACGAAGGGGGCUAGCGUUGUUCGGAAUCACUGGGCGUAAAGAGCGCGUAGGCGGUUUAACAAGUCAGAGGUGAAAGCCUGGAGCUUAACUCCAGAACUGCCUUUGAAACUGUUAAGCUGGAGUCUCGGAGAGGAUAGUGGAAUUCCUAGUGUAGAGGUGAAAUUCGCAGAUACUAGGAGGAACACCAGUGGCGAAGGCGACUAUCUGGACGAGUACUGACGCUGAGGCGCGAAAGCGUGGGGAGCAAAC
RNAcentral lists this ribosomal RNA (400 nucleotides) under uncultured bacterium. Its description in RNAcentral is "bacterial SSU rRNA". It matches the Rfam family "Bacterial small subunit ribosomal RNA", at positions 355 to 773 of the family's 1533-position model. The record is from RNAcentral.